This 403-nucleotide ribosomal RNA is filed under the name uncultured bacterium. RNAcentral's name for it is "partial 16S ribosomal RNA". It matches the Rfam family "Bacterial small subunit ribosomal RNA", at positions 28 to 526 of the family's 1533-position model. The record is from RNAcentral.
GACGAACGCUGGCGGCGUGCCUAAUACAUGCAAGUCGAACGCAGUGGGGAUGGGUGAGUAACACCUGGGUAACCUCCCAUCAGAGGGGAUAACACUUGGAAACAGGUGCUAAACCGAUACUGAUGGAUGGUCCUGCGGUGCAUUAGCUAGUUGGUGGGGUAACGGCUCACCAAGGCCACGAUGCAUAGCCGGCCUGAGAGGGUGAUCGGCCACACUGGGACUGAGACACGGCCCAGACUCCUACGGGAGGCAGCAGUGGGGAAUAUUCGGCAAUGGGCGCAAGUCUGACCGAGCAACGCCGCGUGAAUGAAGAAGGUUUUCGGAUCGUAAAACUCUGUUGUUAGAGAAGCGUUAUCUAACCAGAAAGCAACGGCUAACUACGUGCCAGCAGCCGCGGUAAUUC